AAUGGAGGCAACUCUGAUCCAGCCAUGCCGCGUGCAGGAAGACUGCCUAUGGGUUGUAAACUGCUUUUAUAUAGGAAGAACCUACUUACGUGUAAUUAGCUGACGGUACUAUAAGAAUAAGGAUCGGCUAACUCCGUGCCAGCAGCCGCGGUAAUACGGAGGAUCCAAGCGUUAUCCGGAAUCAUUGGGUUUAAAGGGUCCGUAGGUGGAUAAUUAAGUCAGAGGUGAAAUCUUGCAGCUCAACUGUAAAAUUGCCUUUGAUACUGGUUAUCUUGAGUUAUUAUGAAGUAGUUAGAAUAUGUAGUGUAGCGGUGAAAUGCAUAGAUAUUACAUAGAAUACCAAUUGCGAAGGCAGAUUACUAAUAAUCAACUGACACUGAUGGACGAAAGCGUGGGUAGCGAACAGGAUU
This 410-nucleotide ribosomal RNA is filed under the name uncultured Flavobacteriia bacterium. RNAcentral's name for it is "bacterial SSU rRNA". It matches the Rfam family "Bacterial small subunit ribosomal RNA", at positions 370 to 779 of the family's 1533-position model. Lineage: Bacteria; Pseudomonadati; Bacteroidota; Flavobacteriia. The record is from RNAcentral.